AUUUUUUAUAAAAAUAAUUUAUUUAUUUAAUGUUUUAGUAUUUAGUAAAAAUUAAUUUUUAGAUUUAUAGUUUAAUAGUAUUGUAAAAGAAUUAAUUAAAUUUAAAAAAGAAUAUUUUUAGUACCUUUUGUAUCAGGGUUGAUUAAAAUUUUUAAUUUUUUUUUAAUUUCUCAAAAUUUAUAGAGUUAAUUUUAUUAUUAAUUUAUUGUGUUAUAAAUAUUUAUAAAAUAAUAUUAGUUUUGAAAUUUAAUUCGUUAUAUUAUAUUUAGUUAUUUAAGAUUUAAAUUUAAUUUAUAAUUUUAAAAGUUAUAUUGAUUUUAUAUAUAAAUAUUUUAAAUUUGAAUUAUUUUAGGGAUAAGCUUGAAAUUUUUAUAUAAUAAUUUAUUUAUUUUAAUAAUUUAUAGGAAUAGAAAUUUUUAUUUUAAGUUUGUAAAAAUUUAUUAUUUAUUUAUUUUUAAUUUAUUAUAAAUUUAUUUAUUUUUUUUAUUAAAUUUUAUUAAUUAAUAUUUAAUUUUUAGUAAUAAUGAUUAAAUUAGUAUAAUUUAAAUUUAUAAAUUAUGAAUUCGGCAAAAAUUAUUUUCAUCUGUUUAACAAAAACAUUGUAUUAAGUUUUAUUUAAUAUAGGAUCUGCUCAAUGAUUUAUUAAAUAGCUGCAGUAUUUUGACUGUGCAAAGGUAGCAUAAUAAUUAGUCUUUUAAUUGAGGACUUGUAUGAAAGAUUUGAUGAGAAAUAGACUUUAUUAUUUAUAAAAUUAAAAUUUUAUUUUUAAGUAAAAAAGCUUAAAUUAUUUAAAGGGACGAUAAGACCCUAUAAAACUUUAUAAAUAUUAAUUUUAAUUUUUUUGGAUUAAUAGAUAUUUUAUUUUUAUUAUUUAUUUUAUUGGGGUGAUAAAAAAAUUUAUUAAACUUUUUUUAAAAUUUUACAUWAUUUAAUGAAUAUUUGAAUUAAAAUUUUUAAUUAAAGGAAAAAGUUACUUUAGGGAUAACAGCGUAAUUAAUUUUUUAAGUUCAAAUUUAAAAAUUAGUUUGCGACCUCGAUGUUGAAUUAAGAUUAAUCUUAGGUGCAAAAUUUUAAGUAUUAGGUCUG
RNAcentral lists this ribosomal RNA (1086 nucleotides) under Megoura crassicauda. RNAcentral describes it as "partial 16S large subunit ribosomal RNA". The record is from RNAcentral. Lineage: Eukaryota; Metazoa; Arthropoda; Insecta; Hemiptera; Aphididae.